Molecule: ribosomal RNA, 234 nt
Filed under: uncultured Glomeromycotina
Lineage: Eukaryota; Fungi; Glomeromycota
Description: partial 28S ribosomal RNA
Source: RNAcentral
GUCGAUUUUGGAUGUCAUAAAAUGACUGGGGGAAGGUAGCUCCUUCGGGAGUGUUAACCCUUAGUAGAUGUGAUGUUCGGGAUCGAGGAUUGCAACGGAUACCCUUUGGGCUAGUCCCUGGUCUCUAAUACGAAGUUGGGUUAUGGAUAGCAUGCUAAUCAUGAUCUGAUUUUCGUUAAAAGAUUAGAGUGAGUGUAAAUUCGUUAAGGACGCUGACGUAAUGGCUUUAAACGA